CCUUGGCUUCCCGAAGUGUUGGGAUUAUAGGCGUGAGCCACUGCACUCGGCCACAAGAUUGUUUUUUGUUUCUUUCCUGAGGAACUGUAAGAUUAGUACUGAAGGUGACAGCUCACCCUUAGGGAGCUGAUGGUGGUAGCAAACAUUAUUGAGGCAGCAGUCUCUGUUCCUUGCUUGUAUUUUUUUGCUUAUUCCCAUUCUUCAGAUGAAGUAAAAGCCGUAGAGAAAUGAAGGGACUCUUGUAAGUCCCCACAGGUAAUAACCUCAGAGACAGUGUUAGAACCCAAGCUGUUUGUCUUUACCCUGACUUGUAACUUUGGUUUUUUGGGAGCCUGACACAGUUGGAUCAUUUGGUAUUUUAGAACUUACCCAAGACAGGAGUGGCGGUGGACAGGAAGCUCCAUGCUGGAGCUCCAAACCAGCCUUGAACUGAACUGUUGAAUCAGGUCUGUGUGCAUCUUCAAACCAGGCUGUGACAUGGAGGGGAACAGAAUGGAGCCUUCCCUCAUCACUCAUUUGUAAUCCCAACCACCCUCUCUUCAUUUUGCUGGCUUUUCCCCCAUUAUGUUACCAUCUGUCUCCAAAACAUUGCCUGGGUAAAGACAAGCUGGAGCAGUUGCUCGCCCUCAAACAAAACACAGAACUACUUCUCCUCACUCCCAUUCCCCCCCACCCCCACCCCCGACUAGUGCCAAGCACCAUAUUUGAGGAAUUCCAUAUUUAUAAAGCUUGCUUGCACCUCAAUGAUGCCUGCUUGCUGUCCUUUUUAUUAUUCUUCAAAUAUGUUAUGUGCUGACUGGAAACGAUUAGCUUUUGUUACUGAGGGGUUUGUGGGAUGCUUGAAACAGCUUCAUAUAGUUCUCAGAUGGAAAUGCGUGCUGUUUGCUCCUUUAAGAAAUGAAAUUUCUUAAUGAAAGACAGCAUAGAGGAGAAUGCAUACUGAGGUUCCCCAUCCAACUCUCUGGGUUUCUCUUAGGGUAAUUGUGGUAGGGUUUUAUGUCAUGGCCCUGUGGAGCGAAUAAACAGUGGAUCUUGGGUACUUUUUUCUGAGUCUGUACCCAUCUCUUCAUGCCUCUGACUAGGGGCCCUUGUUAAUGUUAAGGGCAGUACUCUGUCCCCAACAGAGCUGUAGUGUUGCCCCCAGUCUCUGACCCACUCACCUUCUUUCCUGGCUGAUGACACUUCCAGUGUCCUGACACAUCUGGGCAGACUGGAAUUGGAGUUCUUAAAUGCCCUCUCUGACUGGCCCCAGCUUGAUUCUGCACUGGCCUUAGGAGACUCCACAAAGUUUGGAGAGGAAAGACCCAAACAGGUCUCAGAUGUAAAACUGGAUGAGUAUUUCAACUGCUGAAACUUUAGGAGGAAAAUAUGGAUUGGCUAUGUGUUUGCCAACAUGAGUAAAGUAGUUACUAGUGAUUCUUUUUUAAAAAAGUUAUGGAAUCAUAUUUUUCUCAUUCAGAAGUGUUACUUAGGGAAUGACUGAGAUGUGUAUGACUCCAGAGUUCUCUGUCAGACACUGUUCUCAGCCCUUAACGUAGAGUCAUUUUAUAAUCCAGGUGCCACAGCUAGGAAUAGCAGAACCAGAAGUCAAGCCCCAGCAAGUCUGACUCUGGAAGCUAGACUCUUCAAAGAUGUCAUAGGCCCUUUUAGAUGCCAGAGUUUUAGGUGUUCCAUUUUAUUCACAUUCUAUUUUCAUAACCUGUGUUUAUUUCCAUUGAAAGCCGUAUAAUUAUAGACUUUAUGUUCUGUAUCUUAGCAAGGUAACUGUCUUUAAGCCAAUAAAACUUAAUACGUUACUGUUGAAGUAUGAAUAAGUUUUAAUAACCGAGAAAUACACACACAUACUUAGAAUUCAAAAGUAUAAUUGGGAAGUGCACUCGAAAUAGUUUCACGUGAUUUUAAUUUCUGAAAAUCAAUUCUGUAUGUAAAUUGAAUGUAGUGUUUAUUCCAGUAAAACCCUGCCGGAAGUCUUUUUUAUAAAGUGAAUAAUCAACUCCUGAAUUAACUGUUACACAUGGUUUCCGUGUGUAUACCUUUUCUGUGCUCUCAUCUACCAAUCUGAAAAUUAGAUAUCUGAACAUUUUUCUGUGUUUCAAAUGUUGGAUGUAUUUCCUGUAUCAUAAUAAAACUAGUUAUCCAUCAAGGCGUAAUCAACAGUAAAUGCCAAGCCUUAGAGCAGUUGCUGACUUUGCUCAGGGUUAAAGGAAGUAUGCUGAAAAGAGAUAACUGUAGUUCAGUUGCUCAGUCCAAGCCUUCCAGAUUUUCAUGUGGGGAAUUGCACUUCUUAUUACUGUAUUCUUCCUGUCUACGUAAUACCUGGGAACAAUUUACUCCACGUAAUGCCACUCCCAUCUUGGUAGUAAAGUUUUUACUGAAGAGGAAGACUUUUAGGGCAUGUCAGUAUAUUUAAUUGGAAUUUUCACUGGUGACUUUCAAGUUUUGAUUUCGCAGCUUUUAGGCAGGUCAAGACUAAAGGACUCUACAGAUUUUUUGGUAAUGUGAUUGUAUGACGUGUGUGCCGUGUGUGAGUAGCUCAGCUUAGAGUGUGAAUUGCAGUCAAUGCAAAAGUGAAAGCUGCAACAUGGCUCUCAUGCUCCCAACCACUUCCUGAAGAACCCCGCCACGCGGGCCCCAGACUUAGAGACUUGAAUCCUCAGGAUGGAAAGAGUCCAAGUCCCUCAUGGUAAAGACCUCAAGUAAACCUAAACGUAGAAAACCUGUUUGCUACUCUAGUGUGAAUUCAAACGUUUGGUUGCCUCCAUUGUAAAAAUUUCAGGGCACAAUUCUGAAAUUUAAAAUAUUAGGGAAUAGAGCCAGAGCGUUGCCAUACCUUAAAAAUAAUCUUUCAUCUCUCCUGUUUACAUGAUUCAACCCUUGAAACCAGUUGGAAUGUGCGUCCUGAUCUCUAAAUGUACAAGUUAUUUAAAAAAAAAAAAAUGUGAGCUUGUCAGCUUAGCUACAGCCACCAGUCUAAUAAAACUGAGUCACAUCCAAAUGGGCUGCACUUAAACUACCCUCCUAUUCUAGGGAAAACGUGGCUGGGGGAGGCAGUCUGAGUCAUCACCUGGUUUGUUUGACAUACGCUUCCUUCCAUAAAUUGGGAAUGGCGAGCGGCACAGUGUUCUGGGCUUGCCUGGGAGAAGGAGCUGUUGCAGCUUUGCAUGAUCAAAAUAGGGCCUUUAGGUUUGAAGGAUGAGGCCGAGCCCAUAUUUUGACUCCAGAUGUCGGGGGAGGGGAGAAGAAGUCGACAGAUCCAAACAAGGAAUAUUUGUAAGUACCAUUUUUGGAGGUCGGAGAAAUGGUAGGGGUGUUCACAGUUGAAUUUCUUCCUAGGACAUAAAAGGUGUUUAAGAGACAAAUUAGGGGCAUUCAAAUAAAAAUAAAUGGGUAUCUAUUUCACUAAGUGGGCUCGUUUACUUAACAAGAAUAUUCUUGAUGUGGACAGCUUAAAAUGAUUGAGAGAGAGAUGAUUUGGUAGUUACCAUACAAAUCUGUUCUGACAAUGUUUAAUUUCACUUAAUUUAUUUGACUAUUUUAAAAGAAAUGUAUUUCACCUAGGAAUCUUUUCAUGGCUAAUUUGAAUCUUCUUUAGGAGUAUUUUGAGGGGUUGGGAAGAGAGGCUUAUGUGUCUCGCACAUUUUCCUACAGUGGUUUUGCUGUAGGAAAACCAUUUUAAAAAGUUUAGAAUGUAAAAUUGUUGCAGACUAUAGAGGAAGGGGAAGCAGGAGUAGAUUUAUAGCUGAAGUGGGUUUGUAAACUCGGCCUCUGCUUUGGGAUUAUUUUUUAAUAUGUGCCAGACAUUCUUCUGAUUUUCAUCCUGGCUUGGUUGUGGCUCUUUCUCUGUCUGUGUGAGGCUGGGGUGUUCCCUGUUUUAAAGCCGUAGUUGUCGCAGCCUGGGCGUUUUCUGUUUCGGCUUAUGGCUUUUUUUUUCUCUUUUCCUGAAUGAGUGUCCUUUGUGUAACCCCAGUAAUUCAGAAAUCCUGCAGUCAUAGGGACUGCCCUAUCAUGUGACUUAGGUACUAGGUUCUGGCUGCGAUUGGUCAGCAGCUAAUUGGCGGGUCCCUAUAAGAGGUCUUGGGUCGGGCAUCCGGCCACUCUCCUGCCUGGGCUGCUGCUCAACGGGGGCUGGGGUGGGGGGCGGUGUCUGUCCAGUGAUUCAGCCACAUGUGAUAGAUGACCAAGUGACUGCUUUCUUGGGGUCCGCACACCAGUGGAAGACAGUCAAAGUGGUUGUGACAGACUUGAUCAAACCCUGGGCUUCCUGAACUGGUAACUGUCACUUUAAUAUAGGUUACUGAUUAAACUCAGAAAAAUGCAGCUUAAAAUCUUUGCCAGGAACUUGUGUGGACUUAUUCCCUGUUCCCCCCCUACCCCCCCUUGUUAUGAUUUGUUUUGUCACAGGAAUGAAAUGCAGAUAACUCUUUAGAAAACUUUUGUAGGAAAAGCGCCUCGUGUGAUCUGGAACAAAGACGUUUUAUAAUCAGAUUUAUCAAGCUGUGAAGAGGGAGUUUUAGUGAACGGAAGCAGCAGCAUAUUCUGUCACCAGGAAAUACUCCUUUAUCCAGAAUUGUGUGACUAGGACUUGAGCAGAAGUACCUUGGUUACAGUCCUACCACCCACCCUUGGGGCUUGCUUGUCAUCUUAAUUGUUAGGUAACAGAAUUAUAUAACUCAGCAUUUCUAGUUGGAACCUACUUCUUUUCUUUCCUUUUAUUGGUAAGCUGAAAAUGUAUUAUUAGUUAAUAUUCUAUGGUGUUGUAUAUUCUAUAUAUUCUAUUCUUUGUGUUUUUAAUAAACUUAAAAACUGUAUAGUACUGGUUAGUGGUUGACACUAAUUUACAGAAUAACCUUUAAUAAAAUUUUAUUUACAGAUUUUCCUAUUUGUAUUACCUAGAUUAAAUUUAAAACAAGGGAUAAAAGACCACCUUAACUUUAGUACUAAGAUUUGGAGAAUAGAUACCUUUGAGAAUUAAAAAUUUACCUUUUCUCAUCUAAAUGUACAUUUCUCAUCUAACUGUAAAGAUUUAUAAAAGAUAAUCUUUUGUAUUUUGGCAUUGAAACUGACCACACUAAACCCUUGCCUCACUUUAAUUGUUAGCCUUAUUCAUAAAAGUAGAGUUAUGAACAGUUAGUUUUAGUGGUUUAUGAAAUGUAAGUUUGUGUGUUCUAUAAAUGCUUUAUUUUACAUUGAGGAUAAGACUUAGCCAAACCUAUAUGAACAGUCUUUUCCCCCACUGGUUUGUAGGCAGUGCCAAAAUAUACUUCAUAGAUGGGAUUGGCCUUAACUUAUUUAAAGAGAAAAAAAAGCAAGCAGUCAAAAAAACCCCUGCUUCACCUUGUAAAUUCCACCCUUAUCCUCCCGCCAAGAGCUAACCACACUGGUGAAGCACUAUUAUUAUAACUUGGCAAGUGAGUUGCCUCUUAAAAUUAGACAUCUGUGAUUAAAUAGUUAAAUCAUUCCCUAGAUAUGUAUAUAUUUAGAGCUCCCAGAAAGCUGGUUAUCUUUUCUUAUAGCUAACACAUUUUUAAAAAGCUACUUUUCUCUUGGUGAUAAAUAUGUGUGUGUCAUACUGUGGUAUAGCUGCAUGUCCGAUCAAAUGGUCCUAGUUUCCAAUUGACAGUAGCUUUAUUAAAUCUUUUCUAAGUGAUAGCUGAAGCAUUUUAAAUUCAAGCAAAGUAGGAUUCUAAGACGUGUACUUGGAGCAAAGUUGCAUAGUCAUUUACAUUCUAGAAUAAUCCUAAAAGUAGGAAACAAUAAUUGGCCAUGUGGUCAUGUGCUAAUAAAAGAACACCUUGUCCAAGAUACCAGGCUUUUUCCUGUUUCAGUGCUUUUUGUUCUGACUCUUGCCUCUCCCUGUGGUGUCCUUUCCCACCCCAGGUAUGUACAUGAUUCUUCUCCUCCUACUUCAGGAAUCCACUCAAAUGCCAGGCCCUCAGUAAGGCUUUCCCUAGCCACCCUAUUGAAAACAGCAUACCUCUUAACUGUUUCAUUACUCUAUGAAAUGAUCGUCCAUAUCUAUGGAGGUUUUUUUCAGACUUAAACUUCUGUGAGUGCAGGGGUUUUAUUCAGUGUUGCAUUCCCAGUGCCUGGAAUAAAGAAGUAUUUCAGUAAGGUACUGAAAGGUACUUACUGAAGGUACUCAGUAAGUAUUUCUGGGGUGGAUAAAUGAAUAGUAAAGAGAGCACCAAUCCUGUGACUUAUUCUGUUACCUGCAUUGUAUCUGGGAGGAAGGCUUGAAACUGACAUACUAGUGGGCACCUGGUUGAAUAUCUGUUAUAAUAUGCAUUUUUCUGUAAUUUUCUUUGGUGUUUGAGACAUUUAGUAAACAUAACUGUAUUAUCCUCAGUUCGUAGCAGGAAAGAAUUUUUUAACUGCAAUUUACUUUACAUAUGUGCGUCAUUGCUAGAUUACCCAAGUUAAAGUGACAGGAAGCAACAAAAAUGCUCCAAGCCAUAAUAAAAUGGUAGAUUGGUUUUUUGUUUGCUUGUUUGUUUCUCUCUUGUGUAUAUUUCCAUUUUACUGCAAAACAUACCAAAUAAUUGAUUGUAGAUUUUGCCACAAGGAAUCAUGUAUGCUGUAGAAGUGAAGAGCUAUUCCACUUUUUUUUGUUUGCUGCUGGAUCUCCAGCACCUAAGAACGUAUGUGGCACUUUAUUUAAUGUCACUCAGUCAGUAUCUGUUGGAUAAGUAAAUAAAUCUAGAGGUUGUUUAAAAUUGCAUACAUGAGAUUAUUGUCAAAAUGUCAAUUCAUGAUCGAAAGAAGAUGUGCAUUUGAAAUCUGAUAUCUUCUCUUUUCUUCCACAGAGCCCCUCCCCAGGAGGCAAAGGAUCACCCAGCUGCUGGAAGGUAUAGGUACCCUCAAUGGCUCAGUAGCCAGUGUAGAUCCUGUCUUUCGUAAUCAGCAGCUACAUCUGGCUACUGGGUCUCUGAUGGCAUCUUCUAGCUUCAGCUUCAGUGUCCUGAGAGAGAUUAUUGAUCUCUUAAUAAUCUCUUCAAUGAUGAAAACAGUUCUUAAUAAUGAAAACUUUACCUUGAAUCACACACACACACAGACACACACACACACACACAAAGAGAAAGAGAGAGACAGAGACAGAGAGAAGAGAGAGUCAAGUUCUAGGGUGUUAAGUCCAACAUUAUCAGCUGGGGCUUGGGAACCCUCAAGGUUUUAUGAAUGAUGACAUCUAUUUGCUUUCAAUACUACAAGGGGGAGGAAUCUGGAUAUUUAUCCAUGUUUUACCUCUUACCUCUUUUCGUUUUACCUCUUUUUUUCUCUUUCCUCCCUGUGAAAGGUAUCAUUUGGAUAGAUCAAUCUAUUCAUCUAUCUACUUACCUACAUACCCCUACCCAUCCAUCCAUCUAUCCAUCCUCCCAUCAAUCCAUCCAUCCACCCACCUACUCGCAUACCUAUCCAACCUUCCUUCCAUCCGGCUUUUUCAUCUCUUGACUUUUAGAUGGCAUUUUCAACAUGAUGUGGUGAUUAAAUAAUGAAACUUGAUGAUAUGAUGGUUUAAGGAAAUUUUAUUGGCAGUAGGUAAGUGCCAGCAUUUCUGACUGUUGGUUGUCUUUUCCUUGUGGUAGAAAAGACAAAUGCCAAUUUUGAAAUCUUGAAUGCAGUAGGCAAUUGUGUUGAAAUAGUAUGUGAGAAUUCCUUGCAAGCUGAACAUCCAGGUCUGGGGCAUGAACCUGGCAUACAAUGUAGAUUUCUGUGUUCGUUAGGCAACAGCUACAUUGUCUGCUGGGUUUCAGGCUACCUGGAAACAUGUUCUCCAUUGGCUGUCUCACCGAUGCUUCACCUACUCCUAUAAUGUUUCUGAAUAACUGUUUUCCAGGAGGUAUAAACCAGUGGAGUUUAUCAUUGAAUAGAGUACAGAGAAAGCACCGCAAGAAAGCUGAUCACCUCAGCAAUGAACGAUUUCAGUAUGAUUUCACCCCAGUGGUCUCACACACCAGCCUAGUAAACCAGAGAUAAGGUGUAAUGUCAUCCUUCCUUCUCCCUGCCUCAACUGUCAAAGAUUGACCGCUUACAUGUUGUUUACUUUUUGGCUUAUUUCUGUUCAUAGUUAUUAUCAGAAGGCAUAGCACCCACGAGCCUAAUCGUGCUGCCUUACAACCUUAUUCCUCUUCAUUUUGUCUUCUCACUUACCUGCAGAAACCCAGUUUAUUUUUGUUCUGCCCUUACCACACAGCCUUGUAACUGUUAUGAAUGACCCUCAGUCUCACUGGAAUCUGAAUCACUCAGGAAUUUAGGCAAACUGGAUGUUUUAACCACUGUUCAGCUCUCUUAUGGAAUGACAGAGAACUUGUAAAGAUAAAACACCAGUUUGCAGGAAGAAAGGAAGAGAAUGGAACUUGCUUCUGGAAAAUAUGAGUUUUACAAUGUGUUUUGUCUGUCUGCUCUCUUAAACUUAAUCCUAUAAACAUUUUUUAAGAACUAGCCAUUAAGACUGUUAAGUUCUCAAUUAUAAAGGAAUAAAAUGUUUUAAGGAGGAUUUAUUUGCCCUUGCUUAUAUGAACUGCAUAUUUUUAGUAGAAAAUCAUGUAAUUUAAAUUAGUAUUGAAUGUAGAAAAUGGACAUAUAAAGAAUACAAGGAUGAAUGUCUACAUGUAAUAAUGGAUGGUAGUGAUAUAAUGCAUUUUUGUCAUCCCAUGCUGAAUUCAGUAAAAAUAAAGCUAAUGACUUGGAGCUUUUAAAAUA
Non-coding RNA from Chlorocebus sabaeus (green monkey), 8697 nucleotides. Lineage: Eukaryota; Metazoa; Chordata; Mammalia; Primates; Cercopithecidae. The record is from RefSeq and is a predicted model, not a curated record.